This 69-nucleotide transfer RNA is filed under the name Ictidomys tridecemlineatus (thirteen-lined ground squirrel). Its description in RNAcentral is "Spermophilus tridecemlineatus (thirteen-lined ground squirrel) tRNA". It matches the Rfam family "tRNA". Rfam says of the family: Transfer RNA (tRNA) molecules are approximately 80 nucleotides in length. The record is from Rfam by way of RNAcentral. Lineage: Eukaryota; Metazoa; Chordata; Mammalia; Rodentia; Sciuridae.
GGAGUUGUGGCUCAGUGGUAGAGCACUCACCUAGUGUGUGUGAAGUCCUGGGUUCAAUCCUUAGCACCA